CAGGAAAUGUGCCCGAAAUUAAGGACUACUUUGAUAGAGUAUAUGACAGGGGUUAAAAUCCCCUCUUUUCCU
This 72-nucleotide transfer RNA is filed under the name Voeltzkowia mira. Its description in RNAcentral is "tRNA-Ile". It matches the Rfam family "tRNA". Rfam says of the family: Transfer RNA (tRNA) molecules are approximately 80 nucleotides in length. Their secondary structure includes four short double-helical elements and three loops (D, anti-codon, and T loops). Lineage: Eukaryota; Metazoa; Chordata; Lepidosauria; Squamata; Scincidae. The record is from RNAcentral.